CCCUUAGAUGUUCUGGGCCGCACGCGCGCUACACUGAUACAUGCAACGAGUUUAUAACCUUGAUCUGACGGUCUGGGUAAUCUUCAAACUGUAUCGUGUUAGGGAUCGAUUCUUGCAAUUUUUAAUCGUAAACGAGGAAUUCCUAGUAAACGCAAGUCAUCAGCUUGCAUUGAUUACGUCCCUGCCCUUUGUACACACCGCCCGUCGACUCUACCGAUUGAAUGGUUCGGUGAAAACUUUGGACUGUGGCAUUGUCCUUCAUUGGACUUCGCCGUAGGAAAUUGUUUAAACCUCAUCAUUGAGAGGAAGAAUAAGUCGUAACA
RNAcentral lists this ribosomal RNA (323 nucleotides) under uncultured eukaryote. Its description in RNAcentral is "partial 18S ribosomal RNA". It matches the Rfam family "Eukaryotic small subunit ribosomal RNA", at positions 1470 to 1796 of the family's 1831-position model. The record is from RNAcentral.